GGGAAUGUGGCUUAGGGUAGAGUGCUUGCCUAGUAUGCAUGAAGCUCUAGGUUCAAUUCCUCAGUACCA
Non-coding RNA from Dipodomys ordii (Ord's kangaroo rat), 69 nucleotides. The record is from Rfam. NCBI's taxonomy places the organism in Eukaryota, Metazoa, Chordata, Mammalia, Rodentia, Heteromyidae.